ACACUCCUGCGGGAGGCAGCAGUGGGGAAUUUUGGACAAUGGGCGAAAGCCUGAUCCAGCAAUGCCGCGUGAGUGAAGAAGGCCUUCGGGUUGUAAAGCUCUUUUGUCAGGGAAGAAACGGUGAAAGCUAAUAUCUUUUGCUAAUGACGGUACCUGAAGAAUAAGCACCGGCUAACUACGUGCCAGCAGCCGCGGUAAUACGUAGGGUGCAAGCGUUAAUCGGAAUUACUGGGCGUAAAGCGUGCGCAGGCGGUUUUGUAAGUCUGAUGUGAAAUCCCCGGGCUCAACCUGGGAAUUGCAUUGGAGACUGCAAGGCUAGAAUCUGGCAGAGGGGGGUAGAAUUCCACGUGUAGCAGUGAAAUGCGUAGAUAUGUGGAGGAACACCGAUGGCGAAGGCAGCCCCCUGGGUGAAGAUUGACGCUCAUGCACGAAAGCGUGGGGAGCAAACAGGAUUAGAUACCCCGGUAGUCCCAUGAU
RNAcentral lists this ribosomal RNA (477 nucleotides) under uncultured organism. RNAcentral's name for it is "partial 16S ribosomal RNA". It matches the Rfam family "Bacterial small subunit ribosomal RNA", at positions 333 to 801 of the family's 1533-position model. The record is from RNAcentral.